ACAGUCACACACUGGAUUGGGAGGAACAGCCUGAGCUCAUGGGAAGAACAUUGGUCAACAGCCAAGGAGAGAGGACAGUCAUCAGAUGCUAUACCACAGGAGUGGCACUUGAUGAACAAAACAGCCAAUGGGGGAAACCAGGAAGAAGGACCUCGGGUUUUGUGAGGUGCCACUGAGGUACAAGACAGUGACGCUCUGAUGAUGUGGUGAAGUGGAAGAGACUCAGCAAAGCCACACUGCUAUCCUUUUCACUGUUCCCCAUUGAAACCCUCUUGAUUCUAUCAUUUUCAAAAUGGCAACUGGGGCACCUGGUUGGCUCAGUCAGUUAAGCGUCCAA
Molecule: long non-coding RNA, 337 nt
Organism: Panthera uncia (snow leopard)
Lineage: Eukaryota; Metazoa; Chordata; Mammalia; Carnivora; Felidae
Exons: 2
Source: RefSeq, a predicted model, not a curated record